GUGCUUUGAAUGCAAGCUGCUUUCUGAGAAAAGGGGAGGAGUACUAAAAUCUUUUCCCCCCCUUUCCACAGAAAGCAGUGUCCAUUCAAAGCA
Non-coding RNA from Podarcis lilfordi (Lilford's wall lizard), 93 nucleotides. NCBI's taxonomy places the organism in Eukaryota, Metazoa, Chordata, Lepidosauria, Squamata, Lacertidae. The record is from the annotation of a GenBank genome assembly.